UAACGCGAAGAACCUUACCAGGUCUUGACAUCUUUUGCUAACCUAAGAGAUUAAGCGUUCCCUUCGGGGACGGAAUGACAGGUGGUGCAUGGUUGUCGUCAGCUCGUGUCGUGAGAUGUUGGGUUAAGUCCCGCAACGAGCGCAACCCUUAUUGUCAGUUGCCAGCAUUUAGUUGGGCACUCUGGCGAGACUGCCGGUGACAAACCGGAGGAAGGUGGGGAUGACGUCAAAUCAUCAUGCCCCUUAUGACCUGGGCUACACACGUGCUACAAUGGACGGUACAACGAGUCGCGAAACCGCGAGGUCAAGCUAAUCUCUUAAAGCCGUUCUCAGUUCGGAUUGUAGGCUGCAACUCGCCUACAUGAAGUUGGAAUCGCUAGUAAUCGUGGAUCAGC
Molecule: ribosomal RNA, 395 nt
Filed under: uncultured bacterium
Lineage: Bacteria
Description: bacterial SSU rRNA
Rfam family: Bacterial small subunit ribosomal RNA
Source: RNAcentral